Molecule: non-coding RNA, 204 nt
Organism: Vicugna pacos (alpaca)
Lineage: Eukaryota; Metazoa; Chordata; Mammalia; Artiodactyla; Camelidae
Source: RefSeq, a predicted model, not a curated record
AGAGUUCCAUGGGAAAGAGUCCAAAAGGAGAAAGUCUGAUGGGUGAAAGAUUAUACAAAUCACCAUUGAUAUAGAUUCUAAUUCUAUAUAUGUGUGGGUCUGUUUUUGAGCUAUUUCAUCAAUUUAUAUACAUCUACACUAAAAUCAUGCUGCCUUAAUUAUUAGAGAUUACUAAUAAGUUCUGAAUAGCAUACGUCAGAACUC